Asparagus officinalis (garden asparagus) is the source of this 675-nucleotide long non-coding RNA. RefSeq lists it as uncharacterized. The transcript is spliced from 3 exons. The record is from RefSeq and is a predicted model, not a curated record. NCBI's taxonomy places the organism in Eukaryota, Viridiplantae, Streptophyta, Magnoliopsida, Asparagales, Asparagaceae.
AUCGAGACACAAAGGUAUAUGCCUUGCUCAGCACCGGUCCUUAGAACGAUUAAGGAACCCAAGAUUGUUGUGCAGAGUUCAUGUGAUGCAACACGUAUAAGUGAUGGCUACAGGUGGCGCAAGUAUGGAUAAAAAUUUGUCAAAGGAAAUCCUAAUCCCAGUGAUCGAAGAAUUAGGUGGCUCCUCAAGUGCCUUGAAGGAGUAUUUGGGUACCCACGUGACAUUACUGGAUCCAAAUGGUGACACAUACUUGUGUAUAUAUCCUGACACCCAAACUCAAGAGUAUUGCAUUGAUUCUCAGACCACUUGUCCACCACUUGUUGUUCUUGCUAGUACUCCACCGACUUUAGCUCAUUAUUCUCCGGAUGCUCAGGGUUCUACGUCUGCUGCUUAAUGUUCUCCUUAGAAUAUUUGGACACAAAGCCCUCUUGCUAGUCGAUUAGGAGGCGUGCUGGGGAGCAUGCUGGGGGGCGUCUUAGGGAGCUUUACACAGUAGGGCAAUAACGAGGAGGACAUCCACAAAGCUUUUGCUGAUUAUAUUCGAUUAAAUCAGCGUGACUUGUACUUUUAAUUAACAUACUUAAGACAUUUGUAUAGUUCAGAUAUCCUCUUAUUGUAUUUUGAUUCUUGUUAUAUAUUUGGUACUUGAGUAAUUUAUAACUUGUUGUAUUUUGA